GGCAGACUCGCUGUUCCACCUCUGGGAAGCAGAACGUUCUAGGCAGACUUCCUGUUCCACCUCUGGGAAGCAGAACGUUCUAGGCAGACUACCUGUUCCACCUCUGGGCAGCAGAACGUUCUAGGCAGACUACCUGUUCCACCUAUGUGCAGCAGAACAUUCUGGCAGACUAGCAUGUGUAUCAGGGCCGGUAGAGUCUGACAACGGGCGAGUGAGUUGUACAUCGUCCGGCACACUAUCAUUCAACUACUGCUUUAGACUGUCUCCUAUUGGUGAUGAUAAUCUACAUAGUUAUUCUGCUUUAGACUGUCUCCUAUUGGUGAUGAUAAUCUACAUAGUUAUUCUGCUUUAGACUGUCUCCUAUUGGUGGUGAUAAUCUACAUAGUUAUUCUGCUUUAGACUGUCUCCUAUUGGUGAUGAUAAUCAGAAGAUAUCUAGACAACAGAGUGGAACACUGAGCAGAAGAUAUCUGUUGGUCAGAGCUGUUGGUCAGAGCUGUAGGUCAGAGCUGUUGGUCAGAGCUGUUGGUCAGAGCUGUUGGUCAGAGCUGUUGGUCAGAGCUGUUGGUCAGAGCUGUUGGUCAGAGCUGUUGGUUAGAGCUGUUGGUCAGAGCUUUUAAUCAGAGCUGUUGGCCAGAGCUCCAAAGACCUAUCUCCAUUUAGUCAGAACCUAAUGCACAAUACGGUUUCCUGACUUCAUCUCAUGUGAAUAACAAUCCAUAAUGUCUGAUGGUCUUUAAUCACACUCCAACAUCUCCCAACAAAAUCUACAGACAGACAUGAUUAGAAUGGGUGGCAAUCUUUCAUUUACAACGACAACGGCAAUAGAAAUAGUGAAUUAAAGAGUUUUAUAUCGUCUAUAAUAUAGUACUCUCAAAACAACUACAAUUUAAAAAUGGUUCAUUAAGACGGACUCAUCAACACUCAAUUCAUACACUGUCAUAGUUUCACAUUGUUUGGAUGGGGACUAGAUGAAACCAUACUGGCUAGUUGUCUCAAGGCACAAAGAGGCAGAUAUUACAGAAGUACUGUAUGUCUGGUACACAGUAAAAUGGCAGAUAUACCAGUAGUACUGUACACAGUAAAAUGGCAGAUAUACCAGUAGUACUGUACACAGUAAAAUGGCAGAUAUACCAGUAGUACUGUACACAGUAAAAUGGCAGAUAUACCAGUAGUACUGUACACAGUAAAAUGGCAGAUAUACCAGUAGUACUGUACACAGUAAAAUGGCAGAUAUACCAGUAGUACUGUACACAGUAAAAUGACAGAUAUACCAGUAGUACUGUACACAGUAAAAUGGCAGAUAUACCAGUAGUACUGUACACAGUAAAAUGGCAGAUAUACCAGUAGUACUGUACACAGUAAAAUGACAGAUAUACCAGU
Molecule: long non-coding RNA, 1382 nt
Organism: Oncorhynchus tshawytscha (Chinook salmon)
Lineage: Eukaryota; Metazoa; Chordata; Actinopteri; Salmoniformes; Salmonidae
Source: Ensembl